Molecule: ribosomal RNA, 253 nt
Filed under: uncultured bacterium
Lineage: Bacteria
Description: partial 16S ribosomal RNA
Rfam family: Bacterial small subunit ribosomal RNA
Source: RNAcentral
UACGGAGGGGGUUAGCGUUGUUCGGAAUUACUGGGCGUAAAGCGCGCGUAGGCGGAUAAGAAAGUUGGGGGUGAAAUCCCGGGGCUCAACCCCGGAACUGCCUCCAAAACUACUAGUCUAGAGUUCGAGAGAGGUGAGUGGAAUUCCGAGUGUAGAGGUGAAAUUCGUAGAUAUUCGGAGGAACACCAGUGGCGAAGGCGGCUCACUGGCUCGAUACUGACGCUGAGGUGCGAAAGUGUGGGGAGCAAACAGG